GCGCUGGUAGCUCAAUUGGAUAGAGCAUCAGACUACGAAUCUGGAGGUUGGAGGUUCGAGUCCUCUCCGGCGCGCCA
RNAcentral lists this transfer RNA (77 nucleotides) under Planctomycetota bacterium. RNAcentral's name for it is "Planctomycetes bacterium (soil metagenome) tRNA-Arg". It matches the Rfam family "tRNA". Rfam says of the family: Transfer RNA (tRNA) molecules are approximately 80 nucleotides in length. Lineage: Bacteria; Pseudomonadati; Planctomycetota. The record is from RNAcentral.